Picea glauca (white spruce) is the source of this 118-nucleotide non-coding RNA. NCBI's taxonomy places the organism in Eukaryota, Viridiplantae, Streptophyta, Pinopsida, Pinales, Pinaceae. The record is from Rfam.
AUGUACAUCCCUACAUUGUUAAUGCACUAGAUCCCAUUAGAAAUAUGUAGUUAAACAUGCUUGGUCUAGACUAGUAUUGGGAUGUGUGACCUCCUGGAAAGUCCUAGUGUUUUACAUG